This 747-nucleotide long non-coding RNA is filed under the name Carica papaya (papaya). RNAcentral's name for it is "long non-coding RNA (CPAP_LNC001303)". The record is from RNAcentral. Lineage: Eukaryota; Viridiplantae; Streptophyta; Magnoliopsida; Brassicales; Caricaceae.
AUCACACAUCUAAUACCUUUUCUUGAACGUAUAUUCCCACACAUAUGAUAUCCUUCCUUAAACGUGUAGAAUACCCUAUCUAAAAUACAUAUUCACAUAGCAACAUAUUCUCAUCAUUCACUAACACAACCAAUCACAUAUGCACAUAGACUCAUUAUCGUAUCACAUAAUAUCAUUCAGUCACAAUCAUGGAAGGAGAUGAUAAUUCACACUAUCAACAUGGACAAAAUCAUAGCUCCUAUAAGUCAUAGUUACAGCCAUAGUUAUGAUUCACAUCAUCCCCUUCACACUAUCAACAUGGACAAAAUCAUAGCUCCCACAAAUUAUAGUUACAGCCAUAGUUAUGAUUCAAAUCGUCCCCCAAGGACACCAUCAUAGUUAUAGUCAUAGUUACUAUUAACAUCAUCCCUAAGGAGUUAGUCAUAGUUACAAUCAUAGUUACGAUUUACAUCAUCUUACAAGGACACAAUCAUAGUUACAGUCAUAUUUACGAUUCACAUCGUCACCCAGGGACACAGUCAUAGUUAUAGUCAAUAAAUGAUCAAUGAGAUAGAGUUCAUAAUCAUUCCAUAUUGAUCCUGAACUGCAUAUAUAUUCACUUUUCAAUGAUACAAAAAAUCUAAACUGCUAAUCCUAAGUAUUCUCUAUGAUAUUUUACAUCAUAUAAUACCUUGGCAUUUCUACUUAAUUCAUCCUCAUUCUAUUCUUGUGGGGAGUUUUAAUUUCAUACUUAUUCAAGCGUAAAUU